UGCCCAGCAACUUUAUUCCCUACCUCUUCGUGGUACUGACCGGGGUACGAGUAAUUUUGGGGAAGAUCGGGUAAUCAACCCCCGGAGGGAACUUUGGUCGUAUGUUGACAGGGAAGG
Non-coding RNA from Aedes aegypti (yellow fever mosquito), 117 nucleotides. The record is from Rfam. Lineage: Eukaryota; Metazoa; Arthropoda; Insecta; Diptera; Culicidae.